UGGGGAAUUUUGGACAAUGGGCGCAAGCCCGAUCCAGCCAUGCCGCGUGAGGGAAGAAGGCCUUCGGGUUGUAAACCUCUUUCGGGCGGGACGAAACGGGGCGCACGAAUAGUGCGUCUUACUGACGGUACCGCAAGAAGAAGCACCGGCUAACUACGUGCCAGCAGCCGCGGUAAUACGUAGGGUGCGAGCGUUAAUCGGAAUUACUGGGCGUAAAGCGUGCGCAGGUGGCUGUGCAAGCCAGGCGUGAAAUCCCCGGGCUCAACCUGGGAAUGGCGCUUGGGACUGCACGGCUAGAGUGCGGCAGAGGGAGCUGGAAUUCCUGGUGUAGCAGUGAAAUGCGUAGAGAUCCGGAGGAACACCGGUGGCGAAGGCGGCUUCCUGGACCGAUACUGACGCUGAGGCGCGAAAGCUAGGGGAGCAAACGGGAUUAGAUACCCGUGUAGUCCCUGAGCGGGCUGGCAAGGCGCAU
This 472-nucleotide ribosomal RNA is filed under the name uncultured bacterium. RNAcentral describes it as "bacterial SSU rRNA". It matches the Rfam family "Bacterial small subunit ribosomal RNA", at positions 355 to 825 of the family's 1533-position model. The record is from RNAcentral.